GAUGAACGCUGGCGGCGUGCCUAAUACAUGCAAGUCGAGCGAACGGACGAGAAGCUUGCUUCUCUGAUGUUAGCGGCGGACGGGUGAGUAGCACGUGGAUAACCUACCUAUAAGACUGGGAUAACUUCGGGAAACCGUAGCUAAUACCGGAUAAUAUUUUGAAUCGCAUGGUUCAAAAGUGAAAGACGGUCUUGCUGUCACUUAUAGAUGGAUCCGCGCUGCAUUAGCUAGUUGGUAAGGUAACGGCUUACCAAGGCAACGAUGCAUAGCCGACCUGAGAGGGUGAUCGGCCACACUGGAACUGAGACACGGUCCAGACUCCUACGGGAGGCAGCAGUAGGGAAUCUUCCGCAAUGGGCGAAAGCCUGACGGAGCAACGCCGCGUGAGUGAUGAAGGUCUUCGGAUCGUAAAACUCUGUUAUUAGGGAAGAACGUAUGUGUAAGUAACUGUGCACAUCUUGACGGUACCUAAUCAGAAAGCCACGGCUAACUACGUG
RNAcentral lists this ribosomal RNA (497 nucleotides) under uncultured bacterium. RNAcentral's name for it is "partial 16S ribosomal RNA". It matches the Rfam family "Bacterial small subunit ribosomal RNA", at positions 28 to 507 of the family's 1533-position model. The record is from RNAcentral.